This 282-nucleotide long non-coding RNA is filed under the name Lepisosteus oculatus (spotted gar). RNAcentral's name for it is "lncRNA (ENSLOCG00000023198.1)". The record is from RNAcentral. Lineage: Eukaryota; Metazoa; Chordata; Actinopteri; Semionotiformes; Lepisosteidae.
UUAAUUAAUCAUUCUAAAAGCAGCCCUGAGCCUUUGAAUAACAAUGUUUAAUUGUAUCCUUAGCCUUCAACUUCACCUACACCAGCCAUAGUCCUACUUCCACCAGAAAAGGAAAACUGUAAUUUGGCAAUUGGUCUGGCUGCUGGAUUCCCAAGCUUUGUGGCUCUCUGCCUCCUGGUGGCUUUGAUUGCAUUACUGGUCUUAAAGAAAAAAAGAAAUGCACAGGUAAAUGUACGCUUCACACAUUUUUUUCUAAGUCUGGUAAUUUAAAAAAAUUACACA